Molecule: long non-coding RNA, 736 nt
Organism: Mustela erminea (ermine)
Lineage: Eukaryota; Metazoa; Chordata; Mammalia; Carnivora; Mustelidae
Exons: 5
Source: RefSeq, a predicted model, not a curated record
AGCUGGAUGGUUAACUGACUGAGUCACCCUGACUCUAACUGAAACAUCAGCUCUUCCUGGGUCUUGGGCCUGCCAGUAUUCAGACUGGGACUACAUUCACCAUCAGUUCUCUGGUGGUCUCCAGCAUGUAACUGAAGAUCUUGGAACUUGUCAACCUUCAUAAUCAUCUCUAGGAAACUAAACAAGCAGGAUUUCUAUGUUGCCGUCUUGAGGUCAAGUUCCUUCUCUGGGAAACUUCAGUCUUUUUUCUCAAGGCCUUCAGCAGACUGGAUAAGGCCCACCGACAGAAUGGCCGAGGGGUGGCUACAUAAGAACAGAUUAUUGGGAAAAUGUUGGGGCAUCUCUACAGGACACCCAGUUGGGGAAGCUUAGAGUUGUCCGAACGGAUCUGGAGCUCUGCAGAGAAGCCCAAGCUGAACAUAUGCUUUGGAACUUACCAGCCAUAGAAUGUGGUAAUUCAAGUCAUUGCAGAGGAUGAGCUUUUUUUUUAAAGGAAUAGUACGAAGAAAGAGAAAAAAGAAGACAUAAAAUAGAAGAAGCCCCAACAUUUAAAGGAUGGGUAGAAGAAGAAGAGCCUGUGAAAAAUAAAAUGGCAGAAAACCCAGAGAGAGAGAGAGAGAGAGAGAACAAGCAGGGGGAGCCGCAAGCAGAGGGAUAAGGAGGCUCGCAGGCUGAGCAAGGAGCCUGAUGCCACACUCAAUCCCAGGACCCUGGGAUCAUGACCUGAACCAAAGGC